Gossypium arboreum is the source of this 415-nucleotide long non-coding RNA. RefSeq lists it as uncharacterized. The record is from RefSeq and is a predicted model, not a curated record. The transcript has 3 exons. NCBI's taxonomy places the organism in Eukaryota, Viridiplantae, Streptophyta, Magnoliopsida, Malvales, Malvaceae.
AAGAAUUAAAUGGAUGAAAUAUGAAGUUUUAUUAAAAGAAAAAUGGGUGAAAAGAACAAAGUUUUGUCCAUCUUUGUUCAUCAUAGCUGAAAGUUAGAGAAGAGAAAGGAGAGGAGAAAGCUCUUGAGUAUUCGGUCAUUAGGAGGAGGAAAAUUGAAGGCGGUUCGUGUGUGGAUCUCGUCAGCAUAUCGUCGCAAAUAGGAAAUCCCCAACCAUAGUGGGCUUGGAGCUGUGAGGGAAUUCGGAGUGGCCACCCGUUCUGAAAGUUUGAUUUUCUUCUAAUGAACUGGACAUCCUUUUAUUUCCGUUUGAAGUUUUGGGUUUUUAAAUGUAAUAAGGCCGCUUAUUUAUUUUUGAUGGUUUUUAUAUGUUUAUUAAGAUAGAUAAUAUUUAUUUUAACUGUUGAAAUUGGAUA